AGAGUUUGAUCAUGGCUCAGGACGAACGCUGGCGGCGUGCUUAACACAUGCAAGUCGAACGGAAAGCGCUCUUCGGAGUGACUCGAGUGGCGAACGGGUGAGUAACACGUGGGUGAUCUGCCCUGCACUUUGGGAUAAGCCUGGGAAACUGGGUCUAAUACCGGAUAGGACCAUGGCCUGCAUGGGUUGUGGUGGAAAGCUUUUGCGGUGUGGGAUGGGCCUGCGGCCUAUCAGCUUGUUGGUGGGGUGAUGGCCUACCAAGGCGACGACGGGUAGCCGGCCUGAGAGGGUGUCCGGCCACACUGGGACUGAGAUACGGCCCAGACUCCUACGGGAGGCAGCAGUGGGGAAUAUUGCACAAUGGGCGCAAGCCUGAUGCAGCGACGCCGCGUGGGGGAUGACGGCCUUCGGGUUGUAAACCUCUUUCAGUACCGACGAAGCGAAAGUGACGGUAGGUACAGAAGAAGCACCGGCCAACUACGUGCCAGCAGCGGCGGUAAUAC
RNAcentral lists this ribosomal RNA (503 nucleotides) under uncultured bacterium. RNAcentral's name for it is "bacterial SSU rRNA". It matches the Rfam family "Bacterial small subunit ribosomal RNA", at positions 8 to 526 of the family's 1533-position model. The record is from RNAcentral.